This 84-nucleotide microRNA precursor is filed under the name Bombyx mori (domestic silkworm). Its description in RNAcentral is "mir-2807 microRNA precursor family". It matches the Rfam family "mir-2807 microRNA precursor family". Lineage: Eukaryota; Metazoa; Arthropoda; Insecta; Lepidoptera; Bombycidae. The record is from Rfam by way of RNAcentral.
UUAGCUCAUAUUUGUAUGGAAUGGGAUCGUUUGCGUACGUUUGCCGCUAGGGGCGCUGUUCCAACUGCAUACAAAUAUGAGUUA